UACGUAGGGGGCAAGCGUUGUCCGGAUUUAUUGGGCGUAAAGAGCGUGUAGGCGGCCAGUCAGGUCCGUUGUGAAAACUGGAGGCUUAACCUUCAGACGUCGAUGGAAACCGUCGGGCUAGAGUCCGGAAGAGGAGAGUGGAAUUCCUGGUGUAGCGGCGAAAUGCGCAGAUAUCAGGAAGAACACCCGUGGCUAAGGCGGCUCUCUAGGACGGUACUGACGCUGAGACGCGAAAGCGUGGGGAGCGAACAGG
Molecule: ribosomal RNA, 253 nt
Filed under: uncultured bacterium
Lineage: Bacteria
Description: partial 16S ribosomal RNA
Rfam family: Bacterial small subunit ribosomal RNA
Source: RNAcentral